This 628-nucleotide ribosomal RNA is filed under the name uncultured bacterium. RNAcentral describes it as "bacterial SSU rRNA". It matches the Rfam family "Bacterial small subunit ribosomal RNA", at positions 440 to 1057 of the family's 1533-position model. The record is from RNAcentral.
UAGGGACGAAGGGUAAGAAUCAUAAUAAGGUUUUUAUUUGACGGUACCUAACGAGGAAGCCACGGCUAACUACGUGCCAGCAGCCGCGGUAAUACGUAGGCGGCAAGCGUUGUCCGGAAUUAUUGGGCGUAAAGGGAGCGCAGGCGGGAAACUAAGCGGAUCUUAAAAGUGCGGGGCUCAACCCCGUGAGGGGGUCCGAACUGGUUUUCUUGAGUGCAGGAGAGGAAAGCGGAAUUCCCAGUGUAGCGGUGAAAUGCGUAGAUAUUGGGAAGAACACCAGUGGCGAAGGCGGCUUUCUGGACUGUAACUGACGCUGAGGCUCGAAAGCUAGGGUAGCGAACGGGAUUAGAUACCCCGGUAGUCCUAGCCGUAAACGAUGGAUACUAGGUGUGGGAGGUAUCGACCCCUUCCGUGCCGGAGUUAACGCAAUAAGUAUCCCGCCUGGGGAGUACGGCCGCAAGGUUGAAACUCAAAGGAAUUGACGGGGGCCCGCACAAGCGGUGGAGUAUGUGGUUUAAUUCGACGCAACGCGAAGAACCUUACCAAGACUUGACAUUGAUUGAAAGACCUAGAGAUAGGUCCCUUCUCUUCGGAGAACAAGAAAACAGGUGGUGCAUGGCUGUCGUCA